This is a long non-coding RNA of Lolium rigidum, 982 nucleotides long. RefSeq lists it as uncharacterized. The record is from RefSeq and is a predicted model, not a curated record. Lineage: Eukaryota; Viridiplantae; Streptophyta; Magnoliopsida; Poales; Poaceae. The transcript has 3 exons.
UAUCAUCUUCUAUCUCCACGAAUCAGUCUACGAAUCAGUCUGUUCGUAUACGGGACGAACUCUGCCUGCGGAACUGUCCACGAAAAUCUCCGAUUUCGGCUCAGAUUUUAACCCCUUUGCCACGAAAUUUUGCCUAUAAAUACCCCAUAUACUCCUCAAUAUAUUGACCCCAAAAGCCUCAAUUUUUGCGCCGCCAGGCUGCGCAAAUUUCUCGCCGGAGAUCCGAUCUACACCCACCAUUGUUGGAGCUCGGAGAGCACUGGGACGCCGGUAAUUCCUCGCCGGAGUUUUCGCCGGAGUUCACCAUCGCCCGGAGCUCCAUUCGCCCGUAGCUGCCACCCGAGAGAGAGGAACACGACGGAAAAGACACCACUGUGACCGCUGUUGUCCGCUGCAUCUCGACGUCCACUUCGCCGCCGCCAAAAACCGUCGGAACCGUCGCCAAGUUCAUCGUCUGAACCGCCGUCGCCACCGUCAUCCAUUGAUUCCGAUUGCCCGAAGUGCAACGAUUGCGACUGCAACGAUUGUCUGAACAACACCCAAGGCAAGUGUCACACACCGUUCUGUCCUAUUAUUUCUCUAUGCACUUGGUAGUUAUUUUCAGUAGCUAUGUAUGUGUAGGACUUGUUUUUAAAUAUAUAUUGCUAUGCAAAAACCUAUCUAGGAUAGCCAUAUGUUUCAUGACAUAAUUCUUGUCGCCAUCGUAUUGUAGAAUGCUUAGCCCUGCUAUUUUAGAUGCGUGGAUUGGGAAUCACGAUGUGAUUUGUUUCGUUGGAAAUAUUGUUUUGAUGUAAUAAAACAACCUAAGAUAAUGAAUCAUCUGGGUGGAAGUGGUUUGCUUGGUUUAUGUUGAGUGGUUACACCGGAGCCAUGUCUAUGGCGGUCGCGUGUAUCACACUUGUGGUUGGCCACCCAGAAACAAAGAGAUUUGACAGGUUUCUGUUUUAGUAGCUUCCAGUACAACCACAUGUCAUAUGGGCUC